AACGAACGCUGGCGGCAGGCCUCAAACAUGCAAGUCGAGCGCCCAGCAAUGGGAGCGGCGGACGGGUGAGUAUCGCGUGGGAAUGUACCUAGUGGUUCGGAACAACUCAUGGAAACGUGAGCUAAUACCGGAUGAGCCCGUAAGGGGAAAGAUUCAUCGCCAUUAGAUCAGCCCGCGUCUGAUUAGCUAGUUGGUAGGGUAACGGCCUCACCAAGGCGACGAUCAGUAGCUGUUCUGAGAGGAAGAUCAGCCACACUGGGACUGAGACACGGCCCAGGCUCCUACGGGAGGCAGCAGUUGGGAAUCUUGGACAAUGGGCGCAAGCCUGAUCCAGCCAUGCCGCGUGAGUGAUGAAGGCCUUAGGGUUGUAAGGCUCUUUUACCCGGGAAGAUAAUGACUGUACCGGGAGAAUAAGCUCCGGCUAACUUCGUGCCAGCAGCCGCGGUAA
Molecule: ribosomal RNA, 448 nt
Filed under: uncultured bacterium
Lineage: Bacteria
Description: partial 16S ribosomal RNA
Rfam family: Bacterial small subunit ribosomal RNA
Source: RNAcentral